AAGCUCAAAAACUAAAAACCUUAAAAACACUUUAUUCAUUUAAUUAAAAUUCUGAUGAGAAGAAAUUAUCUUUUCAAAAGAAGGCCAACUAAUUUGUCUAGUAAUAGUGUUAAGUGAUUAUUAUUCAUUUAAAUGCAAGCAAGAAAUGUCCAAGGUCAAGUUUCUUCCUGUUCAGAGAAGCAUAAUAUUUGGCAGGCUAACAUGCCAUCCUUCCCAAUCACUUUGUACUUUCCUUUGUUUUAUUCUGCACAAGUAGCAUUUUUUUCAUGGACUAUCUGUGGGUUACAAAACAUAUGUAAUUGAGAAGAAGACAUUUAAAAGAUACUCCUUCUCUCAGAAGAUCAAAUCUUAAAUAUAUAAGCUGUUGAAAUGGAAGUUUUCUUAGUGAUAAUUAUAUCCAGCUUUUCUCUAAUGAAUAUUUCCUUUCCAUAUCUGAAUAUGUUGAACCACACUUUGCUUGGAAACCUUCUAAAAGUUUUUUAACAUUUAUUCAUUUUUGAGGAACAGAGGAGAGACAGAGCACGAGUGGAGGAUGGGCAGAGAGAGAAGGAAUCUGAUGCAAGCUCCAUGUUCCAAGCUCCAAACUGUCAGCACAGAGCCUGAUAUGGGGCUCGAACCCACAAACCAUGAGAUCAUGACCUGAGCUGAAGUCAGACACUUAAGUGACUGAGCCACCCAGGCACACCUGCUUGGAAAUCUUCUAAUGAAAGGAAACCUAUAUUUCAAGCAUAGAACUCCAUCUACUGCUUUUCAUCAUGGUGUACUGAGAAGACCAGUCAGCAGGGAAAACCGUGGACUCACCCAAGCUCUGUCAUGAGGCAUGCCCAGAUUUUUUCCCUGAGUUCCAGUCCUCAAUGCCCCAUGGACAAACACAUCUCUCACCUUCAUCUCUUUUUUGAGCCUCACCAGUCCCCAAAUCAAAGUUUUCUCCAGCCUAGGUCCUUUCCACAAACAGAGCUGGAGACAAAAGCUUGUAAACAGAUAGUUUAUUUUAAGAAAUUAUUCCAAAGAAGAGGAGUGGGAAACUGGGAAAACAAGAGAAAGAAUAAAUUUAAUACCUAAGGUAAAUUAUUGAGGAGUUUUAUUACUGCAGUGAGUAGCUGGGGGUCAAUUCCUCUAAGAAGCCUUAUAGAAUACACUUCAGAACUGUCUACCUGAGACACAGAAUCAGGAACUUUUAUCCACUAGUCCCCAUCUAAGAACUGGUCAAGGACUGCACCACUGCAUGUUCAUUCCUCCCACUUCCAAGUCUGGUAUGCAUCAGAAUGGCUAACAGGCAUCUCAAAUAUUGGCGCCAGAGAAACAUGGGACCAGACAAAGAAAGGUAUGUGAUACAGAUGAAUGAGAUGUCAGGUUACAUCACAAUGACUGGAGGAAACUGGUGGGCCACAAGAAUGUGAGGUGGAGCACAAAAUAUCUAUGAAUCUCACCUCCCGUUUUGUUAGGUUAUUAAAACUAAU
Felis catus (domestic cat) is the source of this 1460-nucleotide long non-coding RNA. RefSeq lists it as uncharacterized. NCBI's taxonomy places the organism in Eukaryota, Metazoa, Chordata, Mammalia, Carnivora, Felidae. The record is from RefSeq and is a predicted model, not a curated record. The transcript has 4 exons.